GAUGAACGCUGGCGGCGUGCCUAAUACAUGCAAGUCGAGCGAACGGACGAGAAGCUUGCUUCUCUGAUGUUAGCGGCGGACGGGUGAGUAACACGUGGAUAACCUACCUAUAAGACUGGGAUAACUUCGGGAAACCGGAGCUAAUACCGGAUAAUAUUUUGAACCGCAUGGUUCAAAAGUGAAAGACGGUCUUGCUGUCACUUAUAGAUGGAUCCGCGCUGCAUUAGCUAGUUGGUAAGGUAACGGCUUACCAAGGCAACGAUGCAUAGCCGACCUGAGAGGGUGAUCGGCCACACUGAAACUGAGACACGCUCCAGACUCCUACGAGAGGCAGCAGUAGGGAAUCUUCCGCAAUGGGCGAAAGCCUGACAGAGCAACGCCGCGUGAGAGAUGAAGGUCUUCGGAUCGUAAAACUCUGUUAUUAGGGAAGAACAUAUGUGUAAGUAACUGUGCACAUCUAGACGGUACCUAAACAGAAAGCCACGGCUAACUACG
RNAcentral lists this ribosomal RNA (495 nucleotides) under uncultured bacterium. RNAcentral describes it as "partial 16S ribosomal RNA". It matches the Rfam family "Bacterial small subunit ribosomal RNA", at positions 28 to 505 of the family's 1533-position model. The record is from RNAcentral.